GCUGGCACCAACCCUAGCUACUUUCCCCUUUGCAAUUCCUCUGAAAUCACAUCCUAAUUGAAACAUAUUCAUGUGUUUCUCGUAAUAGAUGCUUACAAUUCUCGACAGUACUGGCUAGGUCCUGUCACACACCGAGCCGAACCGAUACGAGCUGGGUAAAAUCCCACCCACCGCCCAGCUCCCACUAGCGAAUGGCCUCCGCCCCUGCUUUCAGCGCGCCGCCGCCGGCCUACCGCCACACGCGCCGCCGCCGGCCUCCCGCAAGACUCGCCGCCGCCGGCCCCCGCUUCCACCCGCCAUCAGCCACCUUAAAGGGCCACCCAGUCACCUUCACCGCCGCCACAAGCGACGCGCCUCCUCCCAUGGAUGCGGUCGCCGCCCUGCGCCUCCUGCUGGCGACGAGCCCAGUUCUCCUUCCUUCUUCCAGCGACGCGCCGUUCAACGCCACCACCACUGCCAGUUCAACGCUGCCCCGACAAAUCCUGUGCGUCAACCCCCUGGCUGACUUUGCUUCUCUCAACUUCAAAAAGAGGUUCCGUUCAGAAGCUUGAACAAGAAAAAGAGGUUCAUUCAGAACUUGCGUGUGGUGUCUGUACUGCUGCUAACCUUGUUUUGCUUCUUUACAAAGCCUCUAGGAAUAUUAGUACUGAAUUGUUUAUGUCAGUUCCAGCCGGCAAGUGGCCCUGCACAACAACAUGCAGCAGUUCGACAGGGGAGUGUGGGUCAGUACCACGCCGACAAGUCAGGCAGACGUCCUUUGCAUCACGAACUAGUGCAGUUCGAUCUUGCGCAAGCGGGAAAUUCCCUGAUGCCGGGUGUGUCAGUACCACCCUACACAGCAGCAAUCAUUGUCUUCUUGCAGCUUCCAUUGAACAAUUAAUCCAAGGAAUUUUGGGUGGAGCAACAUUUGUCGGUCUUAGGAAUCUCGAUCAUUAUUCACCACCAGCCAUGGUGAUGGUCAUUGCUGCUCUUUCCAUCGCAUGGGAGCCGGUUGUUGCUGCCCUUCAAUAUCUCUAUAUCUGAACUAUUGUUGCUUGCUAUCUCACCCCUCUCAAAACUUUUUGAUGGUUCGUGUACAGAGAAAUACCUUUUUUGUGUUUCUUUUUUAAGUCAUUAUAUGCUCUCGAAAUGUUUAUGUUUAUGCCUCAAAAGAGAGAGAGAGAGAGAGAGAGAGAGAGAGAGAGAGAGAGAGAGAGAAAACCAGUACGUGUGUCUCACUCUGUUACAUAACAUUUUAAUUAUCUUUGCCACAAAGCUUCAUUUAUCCAGAGAAGUUCAAAGUAAAGAUUAGUUCACACUUUAGGUUUUUCUCCUUUGGUCUAUUUGUUCAGUUCUGAAUCCUUCGGUUUUGGUUGCAGAGAAAGUUCAAAGUUCAUGCUCCUUUGUUUUUUGUUAAGUCAGGCAGAGUCAGGUCUUGCUCGGGCAUCAUCUCGUCUCGUCCGUUCAGCAAAUGCCUCCAGAUAAGUUUACACUUGUGGUUAUUCUCGUUGGUUUAAUUCUUCAGUCCACACUCCUUGGGUUUUUGUUCUAGAGAAGUUAAAGAAAACCUGUAGAAGUUUGUGGUAAGUUAUGUUUCAUUUGAAGCAGGAACAUCAACUGCCACACCGUUGGUGUUUUGUAUAAUUCGUACCAAUUGAUUCAUAUGUUUGAUUCUAACCCUUUAAAUUUUACUGGACUACGCAGCCCAAGGACAUGGUGUUGAAGCUGUCGGGCGUGCAGAGGCAGGCGGUGCUGAAGCACGGGGGCUUGUUGCUGCCAAGGGGCCGAACGACGCCCCUGUACUAGAGCAGGUAGUACUGCCUGGGCAUGUCCACCUGCGACGUACCUGGCCACGGUGGCGGCACAACGGUGUCGAGCACGAGCUGCACGCAGCGCUUGCCCAUGCAACCCGCCGCCUGCUAGCCCCGCAUCCUGCCGGCGGUCGUCUCCACAUCAGUUCGAUUUGGGCACUUGGGGCAGCGGCUUAAAAGUUGACUGAUGCCAUGAUUUGGCAUUUGCUCUAUGAAUAGUGAAAUAGUGUUGUGUAUUCUUAUCAGUUCAUGAUUGCCAUCAUGAUACUUGUAUUGGGGGCUAGAGCUCAUGUAUUACUCCCAGGUUUAAUUUUGUUGGUGUAUGAAUUUUCCACGGCAAUCUAGCAGAAAAAUGAGUGAAGGGGCAUGUGUUUCUGAAAAAAAUGUGUAUGUUCAAAAUGGGAGGCACGGUACAUAGGGAUGUUGUCCAUCAUCAUUGAUUGAUUAAGUCACAUGCGCGCGCGCACACACACAUAUUGACUGAACUACCCUGACAUCGAUGAUAGAGCCUUUUUCUAAUUCCCUCCUACACGACGACAGUACAAUGAUAGAAUAAAAAUCAGUUCAAAAUAUAUAUGCUGGAGGUGUUUGCUUAAAUGCUUCAGUCCAACAAAAAGCUCCAGAAAAGUUCAUAGUUUGUUUUCAGAAAAGCUCCAUGGCAUUUCCUCGGCUGCAGCAUGUACAUGCAUCCCUACAAAAAAAAUGAGCCAAAUCCCGGUGUGCCCAGCCGCUGCUCGUGAACCCCGCCUCCAUCAGCCCCACUUCAACGGAGCCGUCAGUUCGCAGGAGUAGGGGUAGCAGGUUCACCCGACGUCCGACGCAUUCUUCCAUCUCCAAAAAUCUUGUUUUUUUAGUUCAGUUCUUCGUCACAUGUUUCACUAGCUGAAAAUGCAUGGUGUUCUUAAAUUGCUUGCGGACCACUAGUUGUAAUUGCUUGACGAACAGAGCAAAGGUUUGUAUCUUCAUCUACAGUUUUUUCAGAUAUUCGUCGUAUGCACGAGCACGGCUAUAUUUGCUUGUUAUGAUCUAGUGGGCAACAUUAACAUUUUGGUAGUCCUUCUGCAGGGCCCAAACCCACUAUCGUGCAAGAAAAAGAAAGCAAAGCCCCAACCAUCAGCUGCUCAAUCAUCAGGGUCUGAUGGCCCAUGGAGAGGCGAAGCGAAAGACGGUUAGGAAGCGCAAGAGAAUUGGCAAAGACAGCAAGUCCAUCUGUAUUUAAUAGCAAGUCCAUGUACUACUACAUGAGAAGUACUGCUAUUCCCUCACUGGAUUUGCAGGCUCACGACCAUCCUCUAACACCCCGUCAGUGCCACCGAUUUAAAGGAGCUCCGUGAGCGUGUACUUCUCCUGUUCGACCUCGACGCUUGUGGCAGUCCCACAAGGACGAGUAUGGUCUACGAUCGAGCAGUUGGUUCCCAAGCGAGUUCUUGGCUGAAGGUGGGCUUCCACGAUGAGGUGUGGAACGCAAUGUACAUGGAGAUCCUGAUGGAGUACGAUGAUGGCGAUGUGGCGCAGGUGGACCUCAUGGAGUUUGGCUGGGCUGGCGGCGGUCGGCGGUGGACGCGGGUGCAUGAGUUGUGGGGCUCCAUCUGCCGCUCGACCACCACUUACUCCCACUCUGUUCACUGGUUUUGUUUUCAUUGUCACGCCUGUUCCUCGUCGACCUGCAGCAGGAGACACGAGAUCACCCCGGCACUGCUGGUCACAUGAAGGUCGCCAAAAAUGCACGAGAGAGGUUUGGACGGACGCUGAUCACUAGCCCACUAUGACGCCGCCGAUCACUAGCACGAAGGACACCAGCAGGUUGAGGAUGAAGUACAUGACGCAGACAAUGAGGACGACCGAAACAUGGAAUCCGUACACAUAGCACCAACUGCAAAUUCAAAAUUUCUGUCUGAUGAUUUGAUUGCUACUUCUUAAAGAAAGUGUACAUAACAGUUAGAUGUUUCUGCAAGAAAGGAAAAUUUGUAUGAAUCAAAAACAAUGAUCAGUAUGAAUCAAAAACAAUGAUCAGUAUGAAUCAAAAACAAUGAUCAGUUCGAUA
This is a non-coding RNA of Aegilops tauschii subsp. strangulata, 3834 nucleotides long. The record is from RefSeq and is a predicted model, not a curated record. Lineage: Eukaryota; Viridiplantae; Streptophyta; Magnoliopsida; Poales; Poaceae.